CUUUCUAAUAAAAAAAUUUUUUUUUUCUUUGAAGAACUGAUUUCAUUGAGAGCCACGUCAUGGUUGUGUAUGACCUCAGGGGGAGGGGGAGGGGCAGGAUGGGCAUGGCCAGCUUGACGGCACUCGUGUCAGGGGCACCUGGUGGCCCAGGCAGGGCUGCGGGACACAACGGCCUCCUGCAGCCCUCUGCCAGGGAAAAUGGUGAGCCUUGGUGGCUGAGGCUGUUAAUUGCCUGCACUUAAGUUCCAGCUGCCUACAACUGCUGUAGGCUCGAAUCCCACCAGGCUCAAGGUGGACUCAGCCUUCCAUCCUCUUGGGGCAGGUAAAUUGAGGACCCAAGAUUGUUGGGGGCAAUAAGCUGACUUUGUAAAAAUGCCGCUUAGUAAUAAGCAGGCAUAUACAAUGGAAGGAAGGCUAUUGCUGAGCACACUGGGUUGCAUCCCAAAAAUUGUAAGCCGCCCUGAGUCUUCGGAGAAGGGUGGCAUAUAAAUGUAAUUUUUUUAAAAAAUGAAGCUCGAGGCCCCCUGUAUGCGUCUGUCCCACCCGGGACCCCAUUUUCAUUGGCAGAGCUACUGUAGACCAGUCCUACGCUGUUUCCAAGCGGCCCGUGGGCUAAAUCUAAGCACCCCGCCAACCGGAUCCAGCCCAUGAGCUUGACGCCCCUGGUCUAGAAACUUGUCAUUAAAAGGAACUAGGGAAGCAGAAAAACCACAGCUUUUAACAGCUCAGCUUGUUUGAAGCCUAAAAUUUACAAACCCGUGUUUCUAAAAGAAAACCUUGUCUUGAUGUCCUACCCAUCUAGGAUCAUUCGAACAAUGACCGCGAAGUCCCCCAAGAUUCAACCAAGCGUCGGAAAGAGGAAAACGGAACAACUGGUUCCUCCAAACAUAGUAAGAGUGAAAGUCCUUCCGACUCUCCCCCUCGUUCAAAUGAGAAGGAGAAAGAGAAGAACAAGUCAAAAUCUUCAAGCAAGGAGAAAGGUGAUUCCAUCAAAGUGGAAAAGAUGGAGAAAAGCUCUUCCGGGAGCAAAAAGGAGUCCAGGCACGAUAAGGAAAAAACAGAGAAGAAAGAAAAACGGGAUAGUACUGGGAACAAAGAAGAAAAGAAACAAUAUCCUUUUGCUGCACUAUUGUUCGAAUUGGUUGAAAUUGUUUUCUAAGCAUUUCUUUUUUUAAAAAAACAUGAUUUCCUUAAUAUUAGAUCCACCCAUAAAUCUUCAGACAAGCACAGAUAAUGAGCACUGUUCUGACCAAGGUGAGCAUAAUUGUUUUGGGACUUCUCUUUUUUUUUUAAUUACAUUUAUAUGCCACCCUUCUCCGAAGACUCAGGGCGGCUUACAAUUUUUGGGACACAACGCAAUGCACUUAGCAGUAUCAUUCAUUGGAGAGGAAAGCAAGUAGUUGCACCUCAUUCCUGUUGAGAAUGGCUUUGAAGGAAUUGGGUGUUUCAUGAAGGCAUGCGCCCUGAGAUGAUUGUAUAAACGGCCUUGUAUUUAAAUCAGAAGGUAAAUUUAGGGUUGCAAUAUUUUUGAUAGUCCAUUCCCAUAAUUAUAUCCUGUCCUGUCAUCCUAAUGGCCAAGGUUUGGAAACUCCUCUAGAUGAACCCUAAAUUCACUUCAUGUCAGAUGUGAAGAAUCAGAACCAUAUGUUAAACCUACACACAAGAAUCUAAUCAACUAACAGUCAUCACUAAAUUGGGGCUAAAUAGGAGUCAACAGAAUGCAAGGGGGAGCUGAACUUAGUGCAUUUGUGGACACGUAACGAUUCUAGGCUAAGUCCUCUCUUGACUCCACUCCCAGGCUCUGUCCCUUCUUCUCCUACACUUCAGUUGCAUAUUAGUAAAGGUAAAGGUUCCCCUCGCACAUAUGUGCUAGUCGUUUCCGGCUCUAGGGGGUGGUGCUCAUCUCCGUUACAAAGCCGAAGAGCCAGCGCUGUCCGAAGACGUCUCCGUGGUCAUGUGGCCAGCAUGACUAAACGCCGAAGGCGCACGGAACGUUGUUCCCUUCCCACCAAAGUGGUCCCUAUUUUACUACUUGCAUUUUUUACGUGCUUUUGAACUGCUAAGUUGGCAGAAGCUGGGAUAAGUAACGGGAGCUCACUCCAUUCCGCGGCACUAGGGAUUCGAACUGCUGAACUGCCGACCUUUCUGAUCGACAAGCUCAGCAUCUUAGCCACUGAGCCACCGCGUCCCAAUAGUUGCAUAUUAGCUCUACUUUAUUGAGUGAAUUGGAUCAGUGGCGGAUCAUCCUUGCUACUUAAGCUUGUUUCAGUUUCUGCUUCUUUCUUGAAACCUACCUUAGUCAUUGUACUUCUCUCUCUCUCUCUUUUAGGUGAGGUUCAGACAAGAAGAUGGUGAGCUGUGACCAGACAUAAAUUUUGAUUGCACAGAAGAUUGUGAACGAAGCGGACCUGUCUCCAUCUCCUUAACUUAUUCACCUCUCUGCUUUAUUUCUCUCCCAUUGCUGAAGAUGUUGAUGGUUGAGUUGUACAUUACUGUAAUUUUAAGUCGUCGCUUAAGUUUCUUAAAACAUUUAUUUUCAGUACUGUCUGGAAGUGUUACCUGUUCCGUAUUUUUUAGCACAAUGUGCUGCCAACAGUUGCCAUCGUGCAAAUGAGGGUUUUUCCCCACAUGUACAGAGUUCUUACUUUAGGUUAAUCAAAAAUACUUCCUCCGUUUAGCCAUAUUAUUAUUAUUAUUAUUAUUAUUAUUAUUAUUAUUAUUAUUAGUUUUUAUUUUCAAUUGGAAAUGCGUUAUUUUAGGUGUUUGAAAAAAAAAGAAGACAAACCCAACAACCAAUAAAAAGAGUUAUUGAACAUUUGGAUUUUUACCUCAUUUAAAGAAAAAUCCAGUUUUUAUUUAUUGUUUUUAAUAUUGAUAACUAAAACCAUGGGGGGAGGGGCACUUUUCAAGCAAUGCUGAGGAAAGUAUUUGUAUAUUAUGUGCACAACAGUGAAGUUGUUUAAAAAGAGAGAGAGAGAAGAAAGGAAACAGAGGAAUACCCCAUGCUCUGUUAUUCCGCAUGAUGCUCCUUAACGUUUGUCAUAAUGUUUUUAAAGAAAUGGGGAAAACUGCUUUCUUCCGAACAUGAAUUCAGACCAAUUAGGUUUCAAUAUUACAGCUACAGGAACUUUGUAUCGGUGGGACUUUUAGUCCAAAAAAAAAAUAAUAAAAAAUGAAAACAAAAAUGAAAAAAAAAAAAAAAAAAGUUUCACAAUGACCUUUUUAAAAAAAAACAAACAGACAAAACAAUUUUUUUAUCUGAAAUUCUACCAGUGUAAUCUUUUUUCUAAAUAAAAAAUAGUUUUCU
This is a long non-coding RNA of Naja naja (Indian cobra), 3307 nucleotides long. NCBI's taxonomy places the organism in Eukaryota, Metazoa, Chordata, Lepidosauria, Squamata, Elapidae. The record is from Ensembl.